AAAUCCGCUUUGAUAAUGCUGGGAUGUGAUGGGGAGCGAAAUUUAGUAGCGAAGUAGCUGAUUUCACACUGUCAAGAAAAGUCUCUAUCGAGGUUAAAGGUACCCGUACCGCAAACCGACACAGGUGGGUGAGGGGAGUAUCCUAAGGCCAGCGAGAGAACUGUUGUUAAGGAACUCGGCAAAAUGACCCCGUAACUUAGGGAUAAGGGGUGCCACCAUCAGGUGGCCGCAGAGAAUAGGCCCAAGCGACUGUUUACCAAAA
RNAcentral lists this ribosomal RNA (262 nucleotides) under Clostridioides difficile. RNAcentral's name for it is "partial 23S ribosomal RNA". It matches the Rfam family "Bacterial large subunit ribosomal RNA", at positions 1538 to 1812 of the family's 2925-position model. The record is from RNAcentral. Lineage: Bacteria; Bacillati; Bacillota; Clostridia; Peptostreptococcales; Peptostreptococcaceae.